CCAAUAGCGUAUAUUAAAGUUGUUGCAGUUAAAAAGCUCGUAGUUGAAUUUCGGGAUCAGUACGCUGGUCAUGCCUUUGGUAUGCACUGGUGUCACUGGUUUCUCCCUUCUGAAGAUCCGUGAUGUCAUUAAUUUGGUGUCGCGGGGAAUCAGGACUGUUACUUUGAAAAAAUUAGAGUGUUUAAAGCAGGCUCACGCUUGAAUACAUUAGCAUGGAAUAAUGAAAUAGGACGUUUGACCCUAUUUUGUUGGUUUCUAGGGUCGACGUAAUGAUUAAUAGGGAUAGUUGGGGGCAUUAGUAUUCAAUUGUCAGAGGUGAAAUUCUUGGAUUUAUUGAAGACUAACUACUGCGAAAGCAUUUGCCAAGGAUGUUUUCAUUAAUCAAGAACGAAAGUUAGGGGAUCGAAGACGAUCAGAUACCGUCGUAGUCUUAACCAUAAACUAUGCCGACUAGGGAUCGGAUGAUGUUAAUUUUAUAAUGACUCAUUCGGCGCCUUACG
Molecule: ribosomal RNA, 500 nt
Filed under: uncultured Glomeromycotina
Lineage: Eukaryota; Fungi; Glomeromycota
Description: partial small subunit ribosomal RNA
Rfam family: Eukaryotic small subunit ribosomal RNA
Source: RNAcentral